RNAcentral lists this long non-coding RNA (5832 nucleotides) under Homo sapiens (human). RNAcentral describes it as "HSALNT0139057". Lineage: Eukaryota; Metazoa; Chordata; Mammalia; Primates; Hominidae. The record is from RNAcentral.
GAGGUCCUGCUUUGUUACUCACCCUGGUCUCAAACUCCUGAACUCAAGCCAUCUUCUCACCUCAGUUUCCACCUGAGCCUCUGAAAGCUCUGGGAUUACAGGUGUGAAAAGAGCUGUAACACGCGUUUCUGCUGGGGAGCAACAGGAGUGAAAAAACCGCUGGACACCACAGGCCCCCGUUUGCUGAGCUAAGGGUGGCAGGAACAAACAAGAACUGUAACACUUCCUGGGGGCUCAGACCUCUGGACUCUCCAAGCAAAAGCUGUAACACUCCUUGGGGCUCUGCGUUUGCUGGCUUCUCCAUGUUUUCGGACGCCAUCGCAUCCCCCUCGUCUAGAUGUCGGCACCCAAGGAGGAAGCCAGUUGCGGCAUGGCUGGACCAGCUGCAGGCUGAGGGCAGAGCUGCAAUGGGCAUAGGAUCCAGGCCAGUAGUGUGAGCUGAGCGCAGCCUGCCGCCGAGUGGGUGGAACGAGCCCACUGGCGAUUUUCAGCUGGUGAAGUGGCACCGAAAGAAUCCUGUAUCAAAUGCACCCAAAUGGGAGUGGAGGGGGAAGGUGAAAUUGAUAGUUUUAGUAUUUUGAAUGCUUGGGGCACUUGCGUCUUAUGAAGCUUGCAAACCAGCCAAUAAGACAGAUGUAAAGUAAUAAUAAUGAUGUAGGCCGAAUGUUCUUGAUUUGGUUUGGCUCUAUGUCCCCACCCAAAUCUCAUGUCGAAUUGUAAUCCCCAAAUGUCAAGGGAGAGACCUAGUGGGAUGUGAUCGGAUCAUGGGGGCAGAUUUCCCCCUUGCUGUUCUUGUGAUAGUAUGUUCUCACGAGAUCUGGUUGUUUGAAAGUAUGUGGCAUUUCCCCCUUCACUAUCUUUCUCUUCUGCUCCACCAUAGACAGACAUACUUGCUUGCCCUUUACCUUCCACCAUGAUUGUAAGCCUCCUAGCCAUGAUUCCUGUACAGCCUGUGGAACUGUGAGUCAAUUAAACCUCUUUUCUUCAUAAAUCACCCAGUCUCAGGUAGAUCUUUAUAGCAGUGUGAGAACAGACUAAUACAGUUCUGAUAAUAAAUAAUAUACCUGAGAAAUAUACACUGAUUUAAUUUUACUUUAGCGAAAGGUAUUUAUGUAAAUAGAAAUAUAAUUGAAUGGAAAGAUGGAUAGAAACAGAUGAUAGAUAUGAAAUUAUAUUUUAGAUAUAUAAUUAUUCAAGUAUAAAAAAGAGUAUCUGAUAAGUUAAUAAAAAAUCUGCAUGUUAAAAUCAGUAAGCAUGAAUGCAAUAAACUCCAUUUGCUAUGAUUACAGUUCUUAUUGUCAGUAUGCAGGAAUUACCAACAACUUUAUAUUGUGCCUGCUACAAGUUCUCAAUAUUGGACAAAAUAAAUAAAAGCCAAAAUAUUUCUUUAAAAAGUUAACUGCAUCCAACAUUGCUAAACACUACAAAGCACCACCUUACAGGGGUAACAUUCAAGUUGAUUAAUAUAAUAUUUUCUCUCACAAGUGGAAUCAUGUCACUAUAACUCAAGGAUACUGAUGAAGAAGUAAUGGCCAAAGUGAAAUUUUUGACAACUGGCAAUAUAGCCAUAUCAUAUAGAUCAUUUCUGUUAUGUUUUGUCAAAGAACCUUAAAUUUUUUCCUAUCUAAACUUUCACCAACAUAAAUAAUAGAUCUCUUUCCAUAUUCUCUGCAAUAACAUUUGCAGUAAAUUUAAUUUAUAAUACUGCACCACGUAUCCAGUGCUGUACUGUCAUUGAGAUUAUUGAAAUGAUAGUUCUGCUAGAUAAUCUAUCAAUCCAAAUGGCAGAACUUGGACCAAUCUCGUCUAUAUUAAAAUUACCUUCCCUGUAAGAAACCUAUAAUUCUUUUCUUCUCUUUCACAACUUUGCCUCUGUUUUGAGUUUUAUGAAUAAUUGCAUUUCUACUGAUCAAAAACAAAUUCUAGUAUACUAGGUACACUGUCAUUGAUCACUAUAAGCACUAAUGUAUGAAUAAAAAUAUGUUUAUGUUUCAAGCUAAAACUGACAUCUCUGUAAUAAGAAAUCAUACACAAUCUAGCACAUUACCAUCCUUCUACCUGGGGAGGGAGAGAACUUGGGCUUUAUAAGAGUCAAGAUUUGAUCUAAUAAAAUAUUGAUGAGUGGCAUGCCUGUCAUUCUCUCAGUGUCCUACAUGCUUUCUCUCUUGUUAAUAUAAUACAUCGAAGGCAUUGCUAUCAAUUAGCGCAGUGUCACAGAAUGCGAAACCAGGACAAAAAUUCUCCAGCUGAAUAUCAUCCUGUUCACAGUAUUGAAUAGUACUGUGGGUACAGUUUGUCUAGGAUGGAUAAGGGUAAAAUAAUAUAGAACAUUUAAAAAUUAUUUUUAUUGUGAUUUAAAAUGGUUACUCGUUUCAACUCUGGAAACUAGUUUCACAGUUUUUUCCUCUAGAGGGGCAUUAGUUGGGUCGAUUCUUACUAAGUCCUUACUAAGCAAGAGAAAAACCAUGCACAGGAAUCUCCAAACUGGAACUUCUUUUCAGAAUAUUUUGGAACGCUAGUAGACCAAAACCUAAAAUAAAAAUGUAGCUGCAGCACUUAAGCAACUAACUUUGUGGACUAAACUUAUUGAUAUUCUAACUAAAUUAGUUGGUUAUUUGGUGUAACAUGAUCCUAGGAAUUGGAAAUUCGAAGUCAAGUCCUCAGUGUCCAUGUCCUUUAACUUCACUGAUACUUGAAAAGAUGGGGAGUCUUUCUUCAAAAUGGAGAGAAAGGUUAUUCCUUAUUCCUUGAGAAGGCAUUUGAAACAAAUAGAAAAAAUAAAUAAAUAAUUGACAAUGAAAACUGGCAGCAUCUUUCAAACAAUACCCUGGCUGAAAAUAUCAAUCAAUUAAAAACCUUGCAUUUUAAAAAUUGAAAAAGGAAAUCGUAGCGCACACUUAGUGGUGCCAUUUAUGAAAGUACAAGGAGAAAACCUCUUAGUGGUCUGGGUUCUGAUGUAAGCCUACUGAAUUUUGAGAGAAGAAACCCAAAGAUGAAUGCCAAUGAAAAGUAAUAGGUUCUCUCAGUUAUGUUUCAUAUUUAGACAGUAUCAACAACACCAAAAUAUUCAAACAGGUCAACUGGGUAGAAAAAUAAUUAGUUAUUUCCCAUUGACUAGAUAAGCAACUUGUUUAACUGCUUUUACUUCAUUUGGUAACCUGUUAGUAUUACAUAAUACAAACAUAGCUGUAUUUUAAAAAUAGUAAACCAAAGUUUUGUUACAGAAUAAGCCACAACAUAUAGCUGUGAGUGUUAGGGUUUUCAUAAAGAAAUGGAUUGCCAUUUUUUCCAGUUUAUUUCAAAGCAGCUGAUUCAGACAUUAGAGGAAUCAUUUAUAGAAGAAAGAUGCAUUAAUUCCUAUUAGGUAAAAGGCUGUCUCUGGCUAUGCAUAGGGUUAAAAAAAUAAUGCUCAAGAAAUGAGUCCAAUGAACUUUGUAUAUACUUACCUUUCAUUGUUUUUACACAAUUUGAAAGUAUUAAGCAAAUAAUUUACUAUCCCUGGGGGUGGGGGGAGGGAGAAAUAAAUCAGCCAGCCAAAGAUCUGAUUCUUGUUGUUUGUUUUGUUGUAAUUUAAUUGUAUUUUUCAAAUAGGUAGUUCAAUCAUAUGGUGCAAAGAGAAAACAAUAUUAAAAGACAGAAAUUAAGAAGUUCUCUUUUGUUCCUGUCAUUGUCCAAACCAUUCUUACCCACAAAGCCCUGUCACUUUAAUUAGUUUCUAGUAUAGCCUCCCAGUAUUUCUGCAUAUAGAUAAAGAAUAUAUAACAUGACUAGACACACAGAAUAUAUAAGUAUAUAUUCUUAUGUGUAAAAUUAUUUUCUUUUAAGAAUUUUAAAAUUACCUUUUAAGAAUAAGAAUAUAAAUAUUUUUAUUUUAAAAACUGACAGACGUAAAAUUUACUUUUUUUGUGGUACAGUUCUAUGAGUUCUAACAGAGUAUAGAUUUGUAGAACUACCUCCACACUCGGAAGAAAGAUGAGUUCCAUCAUUCCCCAAAUCUCCCAUGGUACUUCUCUGUGAUUAUGCCCUCUCUCCAUCCCAAACCCCUGGCAGCCAUUCAUCUGUUCUCUCUUGUUAAAGUUUUAUCUUUUUAAGUAUGCCAUAUAAAUGGAAUUACACACACACACACACACACACACACACACACACAUAUGUAAUCUUUUAUGAUUGGCUGCUGUUGCUUAACAUAAUGUAUUUAAGAUGCAUCUAAAUUUAUGUAUCUCAUCAGCAACUUGUGGGAGCACCUGUUCCUCCAAAGUGUCACUAAAAAAGCAUUUUGUCAAACUUGGCUCUUUCGUUCCUUCUAGUUGUUUAGAGUUAUCUGUAAGACACUAGAAAACAAUCAUUCUGGGUAAACACAAUUCCUUGUUUUUCAUUCUAAUUUGAUAAAGAAUACAUACACACAAAGUGUUAGGUUGUCAUAAGACAAGGCAAGAACUCUGGUGCUUAAUCACUCAACGUGGACCACUUUGUCUAGAAAAUUGCUUUAAAAGACCAAAAAAAUGUUUCAAACAGUAAUAUGAAUAUGGUUUAUAAAGUGUGUCUGAUCUCAUUUUAUGAAUUUAACACCUUCACCUGUUUUAUGCAUCCAUUCCUUUCCCAAUGUUUUAUUUUAUUGAAUAUGUACACGUUCUUUUUAAACACAAAACCAAAAGCAUUUUCUCCCAAAUAUUAUGGACAUUUCAACAGAAUUAUAUUUGUUUACUUGACUUUUUAUUGAAUUACUUUGCUAACUAUCUUCAUUUCCCAUUUUAGUUUGCCAAAAUAAAGCAAAAGUUCUUAGGAGGAAAGUUUCAACUGAGACUAUUUUUUCUAACACAGGGACUUCUAAAUGUGGUCUUAGUUUAAGUCCUGGGACUCAUAGUUAUUGCAACAACUAUAUCCAAUAUUUAACAUUUAAUUUUUCUCAUUAACCUUGAAACUUAUUACUAAUUCUUCAGUUACUCUCUCAUAUUCAUCUUAAUCAUAGAAAGUUUGUUGUCAUUUCCUAUCAUAUUUUAAUUCAUUAUUUAUGAAAAGAGUAAUUUCAAUUUGCCUUUAAGCAUUAACUCUGGAUUUUUCAGGAUUUUCUAUUUCUUUUAAGUGUUGGUUCUGUAGUUGAAAUGACUAUUUAAGGGCCACUAUUCUCUUAUAAACAUAUAUUUUGGGGGCUUUUAGAAACAAAUUAUGUAAAAAUAUAAUUAUGGGCCUUAUAUGAGAGUUAAAGACAACUAUUUAUUUUUGACCUGUGCUACUAUGUGGGAAAAAUCAUACUUUUUAAAUGAAAUGAGAAUAACAUACCCAGUAUUAGAAAAAUGUUUAAGGCUAACUCCAAUUAUAGUAUCAAAAUAUAAUCAACGUAAUAACUCUAAUUACAAUAAAUUAUUUAAAAACAGGUAUAAAUCAGACCAAUUUUUAUGUGAGCUUUAAAUAGUCUGAAAUAGUUUUAUUGCAAUUAAACCUCAUGAAUCAUGCAAGUUUCUAGUCAAAUAAAAUUAUUUUAUUUGCCUACUAUUGCUAAUUUUAUACUUUAGCACAACUUGAAGGUCAUAGCAAAAAUAUAUACACUAAGAAAAACCUCUCAAUUUGUUUGUAAUUGUCCAGUUUAUUCUGUUUCCUUAUUACAAAUUUAUUUUUGUGAUAUUCUAAUAUAGGUUUGUCCUGGGUUUAUGUAGAUGAGUUAUAAAAAUAAAAAUAAUUUCUGACUCAAUUAUUAUAAGCAAUGAAUAUGUACAGGUAACAAUUACUUCUUUUAGCAAUUUUUAAAGGGGUUAUACUACACAUAAGCGCUUCAUAUGUUCAGUGUUGAAUGGUAUGUUUUCAGUGGAACUUUGAUAAAAUUGAUUGUAUCCCGAG